UAGCUCAGUCGGUAGAGCAUCAGACUUUUAAUCUGAGGGUCGGGGGUUCGAGCCCCCC
Molecule: transfer RNA, 58 nt
Filed under: Schistosoma curassoni
Lineage: Eukaryota; Metazoa; Platyhelminthes; Trematoda; Strigeidida; Schistosomatidae
Rfam family: tRNA
About the family: Transfer RNA (tRNA) molecules are approximately 80 nucleotides in length.
Source: Rfam by way of RNAcentral